RNAcentral lists this ribosomal RNA (419 nucleotides) under uncultured Prevotella sp. Its description in RNAcentral is "bacterial SSU rRNA". It matches the Rfam family "Bacterial small subunit ribosomal RNA", at positions 358 to 774 of the family's 1533-position model. The record is from RNAcentral. Lineage: Bacteria; Pseudomonadati; Bacteroidota; Bacteroidia; Bacteroidales; Prevotellaceae.
GGAAUAUUGGUCAAUGGAGGCAACUCUGAACCAGCCAAGUAGCGUGCAGGACGACGGCCCUAUGGGUUGUAAACUGCUUUUGUGCGGGGAUAACGGGGGGUAUGCAUACCCUUUUGCAGGUACCGCACGAAUAAGGACCGGCUAAUUCCGUGCCAGCAGCCGCGGUAAUACGGAAGGUCCGGACGUUAUCCGGAUUUAUUGGGUUUAAAGGGAGCGCAGGCUGCCGAUUAAGCGUGACGUGAAAUGCCGCGGCUCAACCGUGGAAGUGCGUCGCGAACUGGUUGGCUUGAGUGCAGUCGACGCCGGCGGAAUUCGUGGUGUAGCGGUGAAAUGCUUAGAUAUCACGAAGAACCCCGAUUGCGAAGGCAGCUGGCGAGAGUGUAACUGACGCUAAAGCUCGAAGGUGCGGGUAUCGAACA